This 808-nucleotide ribosomal RNA is filed under the name marine sediment metagenome. RNAcentral's name for it is "LSU rRNA". It matches the Rfam family "Bacterial large subunit ribosomal RNA", at positions 601 to 1410 of the family's 2925-position model. The record is from RNAcentral.
GUGCUUUUUGUAGAACGAACCUGCGAGUUACAGUAUGCAGCAAGGUUAAGUUUAGUUAAACGGAGCCGAAGCGAAAGCGAGUCUUAAUUAGGGCGUUUAGUUGUAUGCUGUAGACCCGAAGCUGAGUGAUCUAUCCAUGGCCAGGGUGAAGCGAAGGUAAAACUUUGUGGAGGCCCGAACCCACUAAGGCUGAAAACUUAGGGGAUGAGCUGUGGAUAGGGGUGAAAGACCAAUCAAACUCAGAGAUAGCUGGUUCUCCUCGAAAUAGCUUUAGGGCUAGCCUUAAGUGUUUGAUUCUGGUGGUAGAGCACUGAAUGGACUAGGGACCUUACAAGGUUACCAAAUCCAAUUAAACUCCGAAUGCCAGGAUUUUAUAGCUUAGGAGUCAGACUGUGAAGGAUAAGCUCCAUAGUCAAAAGGGAAACAGCCCAGACCAUCGGCUAAGGUCCCAAAAUAUAUGCUAAGUGGGAAAGGAUGUAAAGUUACCCAGACAACCAGGAUGUUUGCUUAGAAGCAGCAAUCAUUUAAAGAGUGCGUAACAGCUCACUGGUCAAGUGAUUAUGCGCCGAAAAUUCAACGGGGCUCAAGCAUAUUACCGAAGCCAUGGAUUCUGAUUUAUCAGAAUGGUAGAGGAGCGUUCUGUAAAGGUUGAAGCUUAAUCGUAAGGUUAGGUGGACUUUACAGAAGUGAGAAUGCAGGUAUAAGUAACGAAAGACAGGCGAGAAACCUGUCCGCCGAAUACCAAAGGUUUCCUGGGGAAGGUUAAUCCUCCCAGGGUUAGUCGAGACCUAAGCCGAGGCCGAAAGGC